Molecule: long non-coding RNA, 263 nt
Filed under: Elaeis guineensis (African oil palm)
Lineage: Eukaryota; Viridiplantae; Streptophyta; Magnoliopsida; Arecales; Arecaceae
Description: long non-coding RNA (EGUI_LNC055992)
Source: RNAcentral
CUGCCAUACUUACCUUAGACACCAACUGGUUAGUCAUUUUCAAUUUGAUCAACUUAUAAACUUGGAUUCGACUAUAGAGCUACGAUCAAAGUCCAUAUUGGUCUAAUAAAAGAUAUGGACUCGACCAACUAUAACUAUUGAAAUUGAUCAAGUGAAGAAAUUGAUCCAAUCAGAAUUAACUUUUAUUUAGAUUUGAUCAAUUACUAACAUGGUCCAUUAUCAAUAGUUUCUAACCCUAGGUCUAAUCCAGUUAAAAGGACUUG